Molecule: long non-coding RNA, 935 nt
Filed under: Elaeis guineensis (African oil palm)
Lineage: Eukaryota; Viridiplantae; Streptophyta; Magnoliopsida; Arecales; Arecaceae
Description: long non-coding RNA (EGUI_LNC005056)
Source: RNAcentral
UGGAAAACAGCCUCCAUGCUCUGGAGACCAACUCAGUACCUUGUGCUGACGUGGACCAUUGCUCGACCACGUGCGGACACGUCAUGAUUCAAAGGCCGCCAUGAUGAGUCGGCAGGUGAUCGCAAGCCAUAGGGAUGAAGCCAAGCAAUUGGAGGACUGUUCGUGGGCCCCAGUCGCACCGCCCAAUGCCAUCGUCCCCGUCGCGUGGUAGAACGGGAGACCCAUCGCCAGGUCAGCAUCCACUCCCGAGUCUUGGACGGUAAUGAUGUGGAGAGAAGGGUGUGGGGGCCCACAACACCCACCGCCCUCCGUGAGGUCGAAUCAAAGUCUGGCUCCCCUGCCAAUGUUGGUCGUUUGGUGCGACUCCAUGAUCGGGUGGGUCCAAAAAAGAAGGAAAAGGACACGGACGGCGAGCGCUACCAAACCUUGCGUGAUUUCCCCUCUCUCUCUCAGUCAAUUAGGGUAUGGUAUUCGCAGAUGGAUCUAGCAGCUAGGAUUCAAGACUUUCUGAAGACAAUCUAUUAUGUGCAUGCCGGGGAAGGCUCAUCCUGCCAUCUUAUCAUGGAAAACAACAACCUAAUGUUGUUCAAAUAUUUGACAUGUAUCAUGUUGCCGGCUGCUGUAUUUUGAUUUCCCAUCAUGUAGAUAAUGAAAGGAUUAGAGUUGUGAUCUCUCGUGCGAAAGAACGGUUCAUCUUCUUUUGCAUGAAUCCAUCAUUGGAAUGUCCAUCGGUUGCUUUGGGAUCUGUGCAGAUGGAUGGAUGGUAAAGUUUAGAGCUCUUUGAGAUUUGUGCAAUGUGUAAAGAAAGGUAAAUCCUUUCACGUGAAAGAUAUACACCAUGAUAUCCAAUAAUCGAAUGCAAUGUUUUAAGUUUUAGAAUUGUACGUCCACCUAAACUUGUAGGAAUAUGAGCUCAAUAUUCCUAAGAUCCAUAC